GAUUUUAUAGUUAAACUUAAUAACAUUAGAAUGCAAUUCUAAAAUUAUAAUUUUUAUUAAAAUUU
Molecule: transfer RNA, 65 nt
Filed under: Metallus mai
Lineage: Eukaryota; Metazoa; Arthropoda; Insecta; Hymenoptera; Tenthredinidae
Description: tRNA-Cys
Source: RNAcentral